GCUUCAAACUGAUCCAGCCAUUUCUUCUUCAGCUCUCUGGUCUUUAAGAAGAAUUCAAAGCCGGUGUGGCCCUGCUGGUGCGUCACGUAGAAGCUGUAACACCACUGAAGGAGAAAAAACACCGAAAUGAUGAGGUCCAGGACUGCGAUGGCAAUCUCCACCCGGCUGCAGUAGAUGCUGUAGAUGAGAAGUCUGCGAGACACGGGAUGGAGUCUUGAACGUCCACCAUCAGGCUCUUGUGAACCUUCACCAAGUCCUACAAUGAAAUAUGAAGGCAAUUAGAUGCCCGCGGAGAAAAACCUCUUCAGAGGGUUGAGGAAAUACUGCGAGAAGUCACAAAGAAAGUGCAACAUGAAAACAAAAGUAGUCACAACCUGGCACAUUAGUCAAUCAAUAUCAAUGUUAAUGCAGAUUCAUACUGCAGCACCACUGCCUUGCAAAUUAGGGUAAAGUGCAUAGAGAUGGCUGUGGAAUUCAGUACACCCGAAAUCCAUCGGUACUAAGUACCAAUUUACAUCAAAUCAAACAGUGCCAUAUUUCCAUACCUUUGUUGCACAUAAAUUCAUGCCCAGUGGCAGAGUUGGUACCGACUCAAGCACUUGGCGGGCGAACAGGCGUACAGUAUUUGUAGAGGACUGCCUCUAGGUAAUGUUGCAAAUUUUACAUGCACUGUAAAAAAGGACCGUUAAAAACUACUGCAAGCAAUUGGUAAAUAGCCAGAGUAAAACACCAUGAAAUCAAAAAUAGUUUAUCAUAGCAGUAAAUGCAGUAGAUAUGCUAAAUUACUAUGGUAAUAAUUCAUAAUUUAUCAUUCAUUUACUGUGAAAAUAAUGAUAAAUUGUUAAAAGCAUUUGCAAAUACUGUAAUGUCACAAGCAUGCAAACACUCUCAAAUGUACGGCAUUAUUCUGUCUAAAUUAAAGAUUUAAAGCAGGGGUCCCCAAACUACGGCUGGAUCCGGCCCGCCAAGUCCCAAGUUUAAAAAAUAAAAUAAAAUAACAUACAAUAAAAUCUUUUUUUUUUUUUUUAAACCUGUCCUUUCUAAUCCAUUUUCUACCGCUUGUUACUCUCUGUGUCUCCUAGAUGCUCAGGCAAGUCAUAUUGUCUAAAAAUGUAUUUUCCCAUCGAUAACAUGACAUCGUCGGCAAAGUGCGCGUUCUUUCAGUCAAUUAGUGCGCGAGGAAUAUAUAUAUAUAUACAUAUACAUACAUAUACACAUUUUUUUUUAACACAAUGCGGCCCCCAAGUCAAAAAGUUUGAGGACCCCUGAUUUAAAGAUUACAUUUAAAUUUACAGCAUAGGACUGUUAACCAUUCAGCAAAAUCCUAUACAAAAAUAAGAAGUUAAAUAUAUGGUAUUUUUUAUUGUAUAACAAUGUUGUUUUCAAGGAAAAACAUACUUAAUGUAAGUGUAACUA
Molecule: long non-coding RNA, 1416 nt
Organism: Entelurus aequoreus (snake pipefish)
Lineage: Eukaryota; Metazoa; Chordata; Actinopteri; Syngnathiformes; Syngnathidae
Exons: 4
Source: RefSeq, a predicted model, not a curated record